Molecule: ribosomal RNA, 480 nt
Filed under: uncultured bacterium
Lineage: Bacteria
Description: bacterial SSU rRNA
Rfam family: Bacterial small subunit ribosomal RNA
Source: RNAcentral
GACGAACGCUGGCGGCGUGCCUAACACAUGCAAGUCGAACGAGGUCCAUCCUUCGGGAGAAGACCUAGUGGCGAACGGGUGAGUAACACGUGAAGAACCUGCCCCGAAGACCGGGAUAACCCUCCGAAAGGAGAGCUAAUACCGGAUACCCCCACCGAACCGCAUGGUUUGGUGAGGAAAAAGGAUUCCGCUUCGGGAGGGCUUCGCGGCCUAUCAGCUAGUUGGUGGGGUAACGGCCCACCAAGGCAUCGACGGGUAGCUGGUCUGAGAGGACGAUCAGCCACACUGGGACUGAGACACGGCCCAGACUCCUACGGGAGGCAGCAGUGGGGAAUCUUGCGCAAUGGGCGAAAGCCUGACGCAGCAACGCCGCGUGGGGGAUGAAGGCUCUCGGGUUGUAAACCCCUUUCAGCAGGGACGAAUCAAGACGGUACCUGCAGAAGAAGCCCCGGCUAACUACGUGCCAGCAGCCGCGGUAAU